RNAcentral lists this ribosomal RNA (77 nucleotides) under Bacteroidota bacterium. The record is from RNAcentral. Lineage: Bacteria; Pseudomonadati; Bacteroidota.
UCUGGUGUCGAUAGCUACGGGGCUCCACCUGUUCCCAUACCGAACACAGCAGUUAAGCCCGUAAACGCCGAAAGUAC